UAACCUGCCCAAGAGAUCGGGAUAACACCUGGAAACAGAUGCUAAUACCGGAUAACAACAGAUGAUGCCUAUCAACUGUUUAAAAGAUGGUUCUGCUAUCACUCUUGGAUGGACCUGCGGUGCAUUAGCUAGUUGGUAGGGUAACGGCCUACCAAGGCGAUGAUGCAUAGCCGAGUUGAGAGACUGAUCGGCCACAUUGGGACUGAGACACGGCCCAAACUCCUACGGGAGGCAGCAGAAAAGU
Molecule: ribosomal RNA, 244 nt
Filed under: uncultured Lactobacillus sp.
Lineage: Bacteria; Bacillati; Bacillota; Bacilli; Lactobacillales; Lactobacillaceae
Description: partial 16S ribosomal RNA
Rfam family: Bacterial small subunit ribosomal RNA
Source: RNAcentral